GCUGGAUAACAGUAGACCCAUAGAUAUUGUCCCAAGAGAUGUAAACCUGAAAGACAAGUUCAUAAAGCAUUUCACAGCAGGACCAGUCAAGUUCUCAUCGGAAUGUAGAACACAUUUUCAUAGACUCUAUCACAACACAAGGGACUGUUCAAAACCAG
Long non-coding RNA from Coregonus clupeaformis (lake whitefish), 158 nucleotides. RefSeq lists it as uncharacterized. The record is from RefSeq and is a predicted model, not a curated record. The transcript has 3 exons. Lineage: Eukaryota; Metazoa; Chordata; Actinopteri; Salmoniformes; Salmonidae.